UGCCAAGCAGCCGCGGUAAUUCCAGCUCCAAUAGCGUAUAUUAAAGUUGUUGCAGUUAAAAAGCUCGUAGUUGAACCUUGGGUCUGGCUGGCCGGUCCGCCUCACCGCGAGUACUGGUCCGGCUGGACCUUUCCUUCUGGGGAACCUCAUGGCCUUCACUGGCUGUGGGGGGAACCAGGACUUUUACUGUGAAAAAAUUAGAGUGUUCAAAGCAGGCCUUUGCUCGAAUACAUUAGCAUGGAAUAAUAGAAUAGGACGUGUGGUUCUAUUUUGUUGGUUUCUAGGACCGCCGUAAUGAUUAAUAGGGAUAGUCGGGGGCGUCAGUAUUCAGCUGUCAGAGGUGAAAUUCUUGGAUUUGCUGAAGACUAACUACUGCGAAAGCAUUCGCCAAGGAUGUUUUCAUUAAUCAGGGAACGAAAGUUAGGGGAUCGAAGACGAUCAGAUACCGUCGUAGUCUUAACCAUAAACUAUGCCGACUAGGGAUCGGACGGGAUUCUAUAAUGACCCGUUCGGCACCUUACGAGAAAUCAAAGUUUUUGGGUUCUGGGGGGAGUAUGGUCGCAAGGCUGAAACUUAAAGAAAUUGACGGAAGGGCACCACAAGGCGUGGAGCCUGCGGCUUAAUUUGACUCAACACGGGGAAACUCACCAGGUCCAGACAAAAUAAGGAUUGACAGAUUGAGAGCUCUUUCUUGAUCUUUUGGAUGGUGGUGCAUGGCCGUUCUUAGUUGGUGGAGUGAUUUGUCUGCUUAAUUGCGAUAACGAACGAGACCUCGGCCCUUAAAUAGCCCGGUCCGCAUUUGCGGGCCGCUGGCUUCUUAGGGGGACUAUCGGCUCAAGCCGAUGGAAGUGCGCGGCAAUAACAGGUCUGUGAUGCCCA
Molecule: ribosomal RNA, 879 nt
Filed under: uncultured eukaryote
Lineage: Eukaryota
Description: SSU rRNA
Rfam family: Eukaryotic small subunit ribosomal RNA
Source: RNAcentral